GUGCUCCCUUCGGCAGCACAUAUACUAAAAUUGGAAUGAUAUGGAGUAGAUUAGCAUGGCCCUUGCGCAAGGAUGACAUGCAAAUUUAUGAAGCAUACCUUAUUUUU
Small nuclear RNA from Mustela putorius furo (domestic ferret), 107 nucleotides. Lineage: Eukaryota; Metazoa; Chordata; Mammalia; Carnivora; Mustelidae. The record is from Ensembl.